This 468-nucleotide ribosomal RNA is filed under the name uncultured bacterium. Its description in RNAcentral is "partial 16S ribosomal RNA". It matches the Rfam family "Bacterial small subunit ribosomal RNA", at positions 28 to 507 of the family's 1533-position model. The record is from RNAcentral.
GACGAACGCUGGCGGCGUGCUUAACACAUGCAAGUCGAACGGAAAGGCCCUGCUUUUGUGGGGUGCUCGAGUGGCGAACGGGUGAGUAACACGUGAGUAACCUGCCCUUGACUUUGGGAUAACUUCAGGAAACUGGGGCUAAUACCGGAUAGGAGCUCCUGCUGCAUGGUGGGGGUUGGAAAGUUUCGGCGGUUGGGGAUGGACUCGCGGCUUAUCAGCUUGUUGGUGGGGUAGUGGCUUACCAAGGCUUUGACGGGUAGCCGGCCUGAGAGGGUGACCGGCCACAUGGGGACUGAGAUACGGCCCAGACUCCUACGGGAGGCAGCAGUGGGGAAUAUUGCACAAUGGGCGGAAGCCUGAUGCAGCAACGCCGCGUGCGGGAUGACGGCCUUCGGGGUGUAAACCGCUGUCGCCUGUGACGAAGCGUGAGUGACGGUAAUGGGUAAAGAAGCACCGGCUAACUACGUG